UACGAAGGGAGCAAGCGUUGUUCGGAAUUACUGGGCGUAAAGGGCGCGUAGGCGGAUGCAUCAGUCAGGGGUGAAAGCCUUGGGCUCAACCUGAGAACUGCCUUUGAUACUGUGCAUCUAGAGUUUGUGAGAGGGUGGCGGAAUACCCAGUGUAGAGGUGAAAUUCGUAGAUAUUGGGUAGAACACCAGUGGCGAAGGCGGCCACCUGGCACAAUACUGACGCUGAGGCGCGAAAGCGUGGGGAGCAAACAGG
RNAcentral lists this unclassified non-coding RNA (253 nucleotides) under bacterium. RNAcentral describes it as "partial 16S ribosomal RNA". It matches the Rfam family "Bacterial small subunit ribosomal RNA", at positions 524 to 776 of the family's 1533-position model. The record is from RNAcentral. RNAcentral also lists the same sequence under 1 other name.